RNAcentral lists this ribosomal RNA (534 nucleotides) under Vibrio sp. HR07-28. RNAcentral's name for it is "bacterial SSU rRNA". It matches the Rfam family "Bacterial small subunit ribosomal RNA", at positions 107 to 636 of the family's 1533-position model. The record is from RNAcentral. Lineage: Bacteria; Pseudomonadati; Pseudomonadota; Gammaproteobacteria; Vibrionales; Vibrionaceae.
UGAGUAAUGCCUAGGAAAUUGCCUUGAUGUGGGGGAUAACCAUUGGAAACGAUGGCUAAUACCGCAUAAUGCCUACGGGCCAAAGAGGGGGACCUUCGGGCCUCUCGCGUCNAGAUAUGCCUAGGUGGGAUUAGCUAGUUGGUGAGGNAAUGGCUCACCAAGGCGACGAUCCCUAGCUGGUCUGAGAGGAUGAUCAGCCACACUGGAACUGAGACACGGUCCAGACUCCUACGGGAGGCAGCAGUGGGGAAUAUUGCACAAUGGGCGAAAGCCUGAUGCAGCCAUGCCGCGUGUAUGAAGAAGGCCUUCGGGUUGUAAAGUACUUUCAGUUGUGAGGAAGGGUGUGUAGUUAAUANCUGCAUAUCUUGACGUUAGCAACAGAAGAAGCACCGGCUAACUCCGUGCCNGCAGCCGCGGUAAUACGGAGGGUGCGAGCGUUANUCGGAAUUACUGGGCGUAAAGCGCAUGCAGGUGGUUCNUUAANUCAGAUGNGNAAAGCCCGGGGCUCAACCUCGGAACUGCAUUUGAAACUGG